GUAAGACUGGGAUAACUCCGGGAAACCGGAGCUAAUACCGGAUAGUUCCUUGAACCGCAUGGUUCAAGGAUGAAAGACGGUUUCGGCUGUCACUUACAGAUGGACCCGCGGCGCAUUAGCUAGUUGGUGAGGUAACGGCUCACCAAGGCGACGAUGCGUAGCCGACCUGAGAGGGUGAUCGGCCACACUGGGACUGAGACACGGCCCAGACUCCUACGGGAGGCAGCAGUAGGGAAUCUUCCGCAAUGGACGAAAGUCUGACGGAGCAACGCCGCGUGAGUGAUGAAGGUUUUCGGAUCGUAAAGCUCUGUUGUUAGGGAAGAACAAGUGCAAGAGUAACUGCUUGCACCUUGACGGUACCUAACCAGAAAGCCACGGCUAACUACGUGCCAGCAGCCGG
Molecule: ribosomal RNA, 400 nt
Filed under: Bacillus pumilus
Lineage: Bacteria; Bacillati; Bacillota; Bacilli; Caryophanales; Bacillaceae
Description: bacterial SSU rRNA
Rfam family: Bacterial small subunit ribosomal RNA
Source: RNAcentral